GUGAUUGGGUGAAUGGCUGCUCUCAUAAGAUAGACAUCAGUGAUUGGGUGAAUGGCUGCUCUCACUAAGAACAUUAGACAUCAGUGAUUGGGUGAAUGGCUGCUCUCACUAAGAUAGACAUCAGUGAUUGGUGAAUGGCUGCUCUCACUAUGAACAUUAGACAUCAGUGAUUGGGUGAAUGGCUGCUCUCACUAAGAUAGGCAUCAGUGAUUGGGUGAAUGGCUGCUCUCACUAUGAACAUUAAGCAUCAGUGAUUGGGUGAAUGGCUGCUCUCACUAAGAACAUUAGGCAUCAGUGAUUGGGUGAAUGGCUGCUCUCACUAAGAACAUAGACAUCAGUGAUUGGGUGAAUGGCUGCUCUCACUAAGAACAUUAGACAUCAGUGAUUGGGUGAAUGGCUGCUCUCACUAAGAACAUUAGACAUCAGUGAUUGGGUGAAUGGCUGCUCUCACUAAGAACCUUAGACAUCAGUGAUUGGGUGAAUGGCUGCUCUCACUAAGAACCUUAGACAUCAGUGAUUGGGUGAAUGGCUGCUCUCACUAUGAACAUUAGACAUCAGUGAUUGGGUGAAUGGCUGCUCUCACUAAGAACAUUAGACAUCAGUGAUUGGGUGAAUGGCUGCUCUCACUAAGAACAUUAGACAUCAGUGAUUGGGUGAAUGGCUGCUCUCACUAUGAACAUUAGACAUCAGUGAUUGGGUGAAUGGCUGCUCUCACUAAGAUAGGCAUCAGUGAUUGGGUGAAUGGCUGCUCUCACUAAGAACAUUAGACAUCAGUGAUUGGGUGAAUGGCUGCUCUCACUAUGAACAUUAGGCAUCAGUGAUUGGGUGAAUGGCUGCUCUCACUAAGAACCUUAGACAUCAGUGAUUGGGUGAAUGGCUGCUCUCACUAAGAACAUUAGACAUCAGUGAUUGGGUGAAUGGCUGCUCUCACUAAGAACCUUAGACAUCAGUGAUUGGGUGAAUGGCUGCUCUCACUAAGAACCUUAGACAUCAGUGAUUGGGUGAAUGGCUGCUCUCACUAAGAACCUUAGACAUCAGUGAUUGGGUGAAUGGCUGCUCUCACUAAGAACAUUAGACAUCAGUGAUUGGGUGAAUGGCUGCUCUCACUAUGAACAUUAGACAUCAGUGAUUGGGUGAAUGGCUGCUCUCACUAAGAACAUUAGACAUCAGUGAUUGGGUGACCCACUGCAAUGCAUGAGGUUUUCGUGGUGUGUUUGUUUUACACAUUUCUACUCCACCACCUAGUUUCACUUUAGUCCUGUAAUGAAUGAUUGGUUCUGUCAUACUAGGAAAGGCUUGUGUUGUUUGGUUAAGCAAGAACUUAGAGAAAUGCACAUUACAAUGAGUCAUUUAAUACUUCAGCUGUUUUUGGUUCCACUUUACUGACAGCAUCCAGGUUAAAACACAUGAUAAGGUGUUAUUAGCAUGAGCCUUUUAUAAUGUCUUAUCAGGCUUCUAAAAAUGCUUAUCCUGUAUUAAUACCAGUGUGUUUUAAACAGACACAAUGACCAGAAAGAGCUGGAAAUCCAGUCACUAUUGGACUUCUUAAAUGUGCCAUGUUAUGAAUGUUGAAACAUUUUGCCUUAAUAACUUUUUGAUUUUUUUCUGCACGUCUUCUUUUCAGUUGGUGGUCGUUUUUAAUAUUUGAAUAUCUUCUCCUUAAUUAAAGGGUUCACUAUGCAAUCCACUUCCUGAUCUGAUCUGUCUUACUAUAUUAACCUUCUGCUGCUUAUUUUACAGACGGGUCAUCUCUUUUUCUCUUCUUGACAAUCAGUGUUUUCUUGAUACACAAAAGGUCUGUGUUUCCAAAUGGUAGUGCACUACUUUGGACCAGGGCCCAGUGGUGGUGGGGGGGAAUAUCACUAUAUAGGGAAUAGAAUGCCAUUUGGGACGCUACAGAGAUCUGAACAGCACAAUGACCUGACGGCAGUACGGAUAGAGAUACAACCUGCCACGUACUCUCUGCUUCGUAGAAGGUUUUACUGAUGGUAAUGAAUCUAUGACUUUUUGAUUAAAAAUAUAAAAAUAUUUAAAAAAUCUGUUUUAUUUUUACCAAUCAGUCAGCAGCUCAUUUUAAAGGGAUUCAUUCAUCUACAGAUCAUUAUGUUCAUGAAAUAAUCUAUGUACAUUAAAUGAUCUAGAUUACACUCUGGGCUCACGAAGUGACUAUAUAAAGGCUCUAAUAGCAGUUUGUGUAAAUACAUUUUAUAAAAUACAUUGUGUGGAUGAAUGAAUGUCAGGAUAAUGAAAAUAAAUAAGCUCACGUCUGGCAUCACGUCUGUGUUGUGCAAUGCAGCUAAAGUUCAUAUAUAAAGUUCAAAUGUAAAGUUCAUAUGUAAAGUUCAUAUGUGUUUUAAUAAACAUACUGGUUUGGUUCAACAUGUA
Molecule: long non-coding RNA, 2385 nt
Organism: Oncorhynchus tshawytscha (Chinook salmon)
Lineage: Eukaryota; Metazoa; Chordata; Actinopteri; Salmoniformes; Salmonidae
Source: Ensembl